UACGUAGGGGGCUAGCGUUGUCCGGAAUCAUUGGGCGUAAAGAGCGUGUAGGCGGUCCGGUAAGUCCGCUGUGAAAGUCGGGGGCUCAACCCUCGAAUGCCGGUGGAUACUGUCGGGCUAGAGUGCGGAAGAGGCGAGUGGAAUUCCUGGUGUAGCGGUGAAAUGCGCAGAUAUCAGGAGGAACACCUAUUGCGAAGGCAGCUCGCUGGGACGUAACUGACGCUGAGACGCGCAAGCGUGGGGAGCAAACAGG
Molecule: ribosomal RNA, 253 nt
Filed under: uncultured bacterium
Lineage: Bacteria
Description: partial 16S ribosomal RNA
Rfam family: Bacterial small subunit ribosomal RNA
Source: RNAcentral